GAUCUUCAUCUCCUCAGCGAGGGCCUUCUCCACAUCCGAGUUUGGAGCUGGGCUGAGCUUCGUGAUGGCCACAACAUGCUCGGGCAGUCGCUCCCCUUGCGCGAUAGUUACCUUCUUUGCACUGCUUUUGUAGAUGAUGUAAAUCACCAUCUGAGCGACUCCGAAGCUGAAGCCUAGUAUGUUUGGAAUCGCAACAUAGAUGUCUUUGGUGAGGAGGCCGUAUGUGAACCAAACGACCGCGCUCAAAGUGAGGAAAAAGGAGAGGGAGAAGGGCAUGAACUCCACGCUCCUUGUUCUGAUUACAAGCUUAAUUAUGCUAAGGGGAGCCGCGAAAACGCUAACAGAGAAGCUGACACAAAUCCAUCCA
RNAcentral lists this unclassified non-coding RNA (367 nucleotides) under Hevea brasiliensis (rubber tree). Lineage: Eukaryota; Viridiplantae; Streptophyta; Magnoliopsida; Malpighiales; Euphorbiaceae. The record is from RNAcentral.